AGUGAACGCUGGCGGUAGGCCUAACACAUGCAAGUCGAACGGCAGCACAGUAAGAGCUUGCUCUUACGGGUGGCGAGUGGCGGACGGGUGAGGAAUACAUCGGAAUCUACUUUUUCGUGGGGGAUAACGUAGGGAAACUUACACUAAUACCGCAUACGUCCUACGGGUGAAAGCAGGGGAUCUUCGGACCUUUCGCGAUUGAAUGAGCCGAUGUCGGAUUAGCUAGUUGGCGUGGUAAAGGCCCACCUAGGCGACGAUCCGUAGCCUGUCUGAGAGGAUGAACAGCCACACUGGAACUGGGCCACGGUUCAGACUCCUACGGGAGGCCGCAGUGGGGAAUAUUGGCCCAUGGGCGGAAGCCUGGUCCAGCCAUACCGCGUGGGUGAAGAAGGCCUACGGGUUGUAAAGCCCUUUUGUUGGGAAAGAAAAGCAGCAGGUUAAUACCCCGCUGUUCUGACGGUACCCAAAGAAUAAGCACCGGCUAACUUCGUG
RNAcentral lists this ribosomal RNA (492 nucleotides) under uncultured bacterium. Its description in RNAcentral is "partial 16S ribosomal RNA". It matches the Rfam family "Bacterial small subunit ribosomal RNA", at positions 29 to 507 of the family's 1533-position model. The record is from RNAcentral.